GCCCUACGGGGCGCAGCAGGCGCGAAAACUUUACAAUGCGGGAAACCGUGAUAAGGGGACACCGAGUGCCAGCAUCAUAUGCUGGCUGUCCAGAUGUGUAAAAUACAUCUGUUAGCAAGGGCCGGGCAAGACCGGUGCCAGCCGCCGCGGUAACACCGGCGGCCCGAGUGGUGAUCGUGAUUAUUGGGUCUAAAGGGUCCGUAGCCGGUUUGGUCAGUCCUCCGGGAAAUCUGAUGGCUCAACCAUUAGGCUUUCGGGGGAUACUGCCAGGCUUGGAACCGGGAGAGGUAAGAGGUACUACAGGGGUAGGAGUGAAAUCUUGUAAUCCCUGUGAGACCACCUGUGGCGAAGGCGUCUUACCAGAACGGGUUCGACGGUGAGGGACGAAAGCUGGGGGCACGAACCGGAUUAGAUACCCGGGUAGUCCCAGCCGUAAACGAUGCUCGCUAGGUGUCAGGCAUGGCGCGACCGUGUCUGGUGCCGCAGGGAAGCCGUGAAGCGAGCCACCUGGGAAGUACGGCCGCAAGGCUGAAACUUAAAGGAAUUGGCGGGGGAGCACAACAACGGGUGGAGCCUGCGGUUUAAUUGGACUCAACGCCGGACAACUCACCGGGGACGACAGCAAUAUGUAGGCCA
RNAcentral lists this ribosomal RNA (636 nucleotides) under uncultured archaeon. Its description in RNAcentral is "bacterial SSU rRNA". It matches the Rfam family "Archaeal small subunit ribosomal RNA", at positions 320 to 956 of the family's 1478-position model. The record is from RNAcentral.